This 1343-nucleotide ribosomal RNA is filed under the name Triticum aestivum (bread wheat). RNAcentral's name for it is "partial small subunit ribosomal RNA". Lineage: Eukaryota; Viridiplantae; Streptophyta; Magnoliopsida; Poales; Poaceae. The record is from RNAcentral.
ACUUUUAGAUAAUGUAGUUGAAUCCUAGACUUUAUGUAGGCAUGAGUUGUCUUUAGUUAUGAUUUUAUCUACAUGACUUAAUUGUCCAGAUCUUGUCUGAUUUAGACGAUCUUGUUGACAAUAGUGUAUACACCGGCUAUUUGGUUUGAUCAUGAUGGUCAUGAUCACUCGUAACAAAGAUAGCGUACGUGUACAGGACGACCUCGGACUAACGGGGGGACGGUGUGCGGAUGUGUCCGUGUACGGUGAAUAACGAAGGGUCGGACCGCUUCCCUAUUCCUCUGCUGGCCUGCUGGUGGUUGGUAUGUCCACCUCUCGUGUGCCCGUGUCGGCUGGCCGGCCGGCGUAGUGGCCGCCGCUCUUCUUGAGGGCGGUACGAGUAGGAGUCUCCCUCUCAGCGGCCCCGACACCCACGGCAAGCGUUCAGGUUCUUCCGGUUCGCGUCGUCCCGAGGUACACGGCCCCGCCGGCCUCACCGGCGAGCUGCCACCCGAACGGUCGCCCUGCGGCUCUCGGUACUCGGCUGCCGCUCGCGGGCACGCUCCGCUCCCGCCUCCUCACCGGCCGCAGCCCAAGCCGUCCAUGCCGCGCUGCCGCAGCUGUAGCUGUUGGCGCACACCAACCUCCUCGGCAAGAGCGGUCUUGGCCAGCCACGCCUGUGCUUCCGCUCACGCAGCGGGAGCGCUUGGACGUGCGCCCCACGUAGGCCCCGCGAACAGAGGCAACCUUCGUCGUCUCCGCGCCACAGCCGUCGGCGUCCGCGUGCUGCCCCUGUGCCCGGGGUUGGCACCAUGACCGUCGUAGGGCCGCCGGUGCUCCGGAGCUCACGGACCAGCCGCAGGAGUUCGUAACCGCGGCAUGCUGGUAAGUCCUCGGUCCGUCCUUGGCGGCCAAGGUAUCCGACGUGCCGGCCGGGUUCACGGACGUGGCCGUCGCCGCGCUGUCUGACGACGCGCCGGCCGUGUUUCCGGACUUGGCCGCCGCGGCAGCAUCACAAGACCACCACUGCUGCUCUCCACGCUACGGGAGGAAGUGGCACCGCCGCCAUCGGAGGUAGUGGCAUUCGCUGCAGGCAACUUUGCUGACUGCCCGCAAACGUGCCAACUCCGCUGCGACCAAGGUUGGAGGUGCGGCCUUUGCCGCUUCCAGAGCGUGAACUGUGGCCUUCGCCGCCACCGCGCGCUACUUUGCCGCCGCCGUCGGAAUCAGUGCUUCCUCAUCGUCCUUCUCUCUUUCUUCGCGUCCGUAACGCAUAGGUUUCCUCCGCUGAUAAGGACUUUCCAACCGAGGUUUCCAACGUUGCGAGGUCCCUCUUUUAGCGAGGUAGCCAACCUUGACGGACA